CGGGACGGGUGAGUAACGCGUGGGGAACCUGCCUUGAAGAGGGGGACAACAGUUGGAAACGACUGCUAAUACCGCAUAAGCCCACGGCUCGGCAUCGAGCAGAGGGAAAAGGAGUGAUCCGCUUUGAGAUGGCCUCGCGUCCGAUUAGCUAGUUGGUGAGGUAACGGCCCACCAAGGCGACGAUCGGUAGCCGGACUGAGAGGUUGAACGGCCACAUUGGGACUGAGACACGGCCCAG
RNAcentral lists this ribosomal RNA (238 nucleotides) under uncultured bacterium. RNAcentral's name for it is "partial 16S ribosomal RNA". It matches the Rfam family "Bacterial small subunit ribosomal RNA", at positions 100 to 334 of the family's 1533-position model. The record is from RNAcentral.